AUGCUUUGCUAAAUUAUCUUUUGGGUCACACUUUGUGGUGUGUCACUUUACAAGUGAAGCUAGAAAGAUUGUUCCUCUCGCUAUCCUUUGCUCCUUUCGUGGUGUAUUUGGACGUUGGGGAACUACAUUA
Molecule: small nucleolar RNA, 130 nt
Organism: Lycium barbarum (goji berry)
Lineage: Eukaryota; Viridiplantae; Streptophyta; Magnoliopsida; Solanales; Solanaceae
Product: small nucleolar RNA snoR136
Exons: 1
Source: RefSeq, a predicted model, not a curated record